RNAcentral lists this ribosomal RNA (625 nucleotides) under Naganishia albidosimilis. RNAcentral's name for it is "eukaryotic LSU rRNA". It matches the Rfam family "Eukaryotic large subunit ribosomal RNA", at positions 38 to 667 of the family's 3401-position model. Lineage: Eukaryota; Fungi; Basidiomycota; Tremellomycetes; Filobasidiales; Filobasidiaceae. The record is from RNAcentral.
GCAUAUCAAUAAGCGGAGGAAAAGAAACUAACAAGGAUUCCCCUAGUAACGGCGAGUGAAGCGGGAAGAGCUCAAAUUUGAAAUCUGGUAGCCUUCGGUUGCCCGAGUUGUAAUCUAGAGAAAUGUUUUCCGUGCCGGCCCAUGUACAAGUCCCUUGGAACAGGGCGUCAUAGAGGGUGAGAAUCCCGUCCUUGACAUGGACCCCCGGUGCUUUGUGAUACAUUUUCAACGAGUCGAGUUGUUUGGGAAUGCAGCUCAAAAUGGGUGGUGAAUUCCAUCUAAAGCUAAAUAUUGGCGAGAGACCGAUAGCGAACAAGUACCGUGAGGGAAAGAUGAAAAGCACUUUGGAAAGAGAGUUAAACAGUACGUGAAAUUGUUGAAAGGGAAACGAUUGAAGUCAGUCAUGCUCUUUGGUAUUUAUAUCAUUGAGUGGGGUCAACAUCAGUUUUGAUCGAUGGAUAAAGGCACUAGGAAGGUAGCACUCUCGGGUGAACUUAUAGCCUAGCGUCAUAUACAUUGAUUGGGACUGAGGAACGCAGCAUGCCUUUAUGGCCGGGAUUCAUCCACGUACAUGCUUAGGAUGUUGACAUAAUGGCUUUAAACGACCCGUCUUGAAACACGGACC